GUUCCUAUAGUUAAAUUAUUUAACGGUGGCGUUUCAGGCCAUAGAUCCCGGAGCGAGGCCGGGUGGGAAUU
Molecule: transfer RNA, 71 nt
Filed under: Regulus regulus
Lineage: Eukaryota; Metazoa; Chordata; Aves; Passeriformes; Regulidae
Description: tRNA-Glu
Source: RNAcentral